GGAGAGAUGCCAGAGUGGCUGAAUGGGAUGGUCUCGAAAACCGUUAGGGAAAUUUUUUCCUUCGAGGGUUCAAAUCCCUCUCUCUCCACCA
Molecule: transfer RNA, 91 nt
Filed under: Sodalis sp. Fse
Lineage: Bacteria; Pseudomonadati; Pseudomonadota; Gammaproteobacteria; Enterobacterales; Bruguierivoracaceae
Description: tRNA-Ser
Rfam family: tRNA
About the family: Transfer RNA (tRNA) molecules are approximately 80 nucleotides in length. Their secondary structure includes four short double-helical elements and three loops (D, anti-codon, and T loops).
Source: RNAcentral